Molecule: ribosomal RNA, 460 nt
Filed under: uncultured bacterium
Lineage: Bacteria
Description: partial 16S ribosomal RNA
Rfam family: Bacterial small subunit ribosomal RNA
Source: RNAcentral
CCUACGGGUGGCUGCAGUGAGGAAUAUUGGUCAAUGGGCGGGAGCCUGAACCAGCCAAGUCGCGUGAGGGAAGACGGUCCUAUGGAUUGUAAACCCCUUUAGGCGGGGAGCAAUGCCGGGCACGCGUGCCCGGAGGGAGAGUACCCGCAGAAUAAGCAUCGGCUAACUCCGUGCCAGCAGCCGCGGUAAUACGGAGGAUGCGAGCGUUAUCCGGAUUUAUUGGGUUUAAAGGGUGCGUAGGCGGAUUUUUAAGUCAGCGGUAAAAUGUCCGGGCUCAACCCGGGCCGGCCGUUGAAACUGGGGAUCUUGAGUGGGCGAGAAGUAUGCGGAAUGCGUGGUGUAGCGGUGAAAUGCUUAGAUAUCACGAAGAACUCCGAUUGCGAAGGCAGCUCACUGGACUGCAACUGACACUGAGGCUCGAAAGUGUGGGUAUCAAACAGGAUUAGAUACCCGAGUAGUC